RNAcentral lists this transfer RNA (69 nucleotides) under Anisotremus scapularis. RNAcentral's name for it is "tRNA-Arg". It matches the Rfam family "tRNA". From Rfam's summary of the family: Transfer RNA (tRNA) molecules are approximately 80 nucleotides in length. Their secondary structure includes four short double-helical elements and three loops (D, anti-codon, and T loops). Lineage: Eukaryota; Metazoa; Chordata; Actinopteri; Lutjaniformes; Haemulidae. The record is from RNAcentral.
AGGCAAUUAGUUUAAGGAAAAUUCUUGAUUUCGGCUCAAAUGCUUGUGGUUAAAGUCCACAAUUGCUUA